This 233-nucleotide ribosomal RNA is filed under the name uncultured bacterium. RNAcentral's name for it is "partial 16S ribosomal RNA". It matches the Rfam family "Bacterial small subunit ribosomal RNA", at positions 544 to 776 of the family's 1533-position model. The record is from RNAcentral.
CUCGGAAUCACUGGGCGUAAAGCGCACGUAGGCGGAUUGUUAAGUCAGGGGUGAAAUCCUGGAGCUCAACUCCAGAACUGCCUUUGAUACUGGCGAUCUUGAGUCCGGGAGAGGUGAGUGGAACUGCGAGUGUAGAGGUGAAAUUCGUAGAUAUUCGCAAGAACACCAGUGGCGAAGGCGGCUCACUGGCCCGGUACUGACGCUGAGGUGCGAAAGCGUGGGGAGCAAACAGG